This 612-nucleotide long non-coding RNA is filed under the name Bos taurus (domestic cattle). RNAcentral's name for it is "long non-coding RNA NONBTAT026762". The record is from RNAcentral. Lineage: Eukaryota; Metazoa; Chordata; Mammalia; Artiodactyla; Bovidae.
CUGUAAAAAAGCAGUGAGGAUAGCUUCUGGAUUCUUUUGAGAAGCAGGUUCAGAGUUGAUAGGGUAGUAACAAGACCCCAUCUUUAUGACUGGCUCUGUACCCUGGGCUCUUGAAGGUGAACCAGCCUCUUUCUCAAACAGCCCUCAGACUGCUGUGUUGUCAUGCCUACCUGUUUACUUGGUGAAAACCAAAGCCGCUGCUCUCAUUAGGCCUUUUGGUCCCAGCUAGGAUCCUCCUUUCUCCAGCCUGUGAGAAACUGUUUCUUGGUCCCCAGGCCAAGCAGAUCACCCCCAUUAGACUUUUUCUGUAGUAUUUAGGUUGGGGGUGGUGGUACAGCAGCUGGUAUAAAGCCUGGAACAUAGUAAGUGCUGUCAUAAUGGUGGACACUUCAGGGAGGUAAGUUUCAGUUCAGAAAAUUUUUUUCCAUUGUAAAGGCUACAACAGGUUGUGAGGUUUUAAUCCUGGCUUUUCCCCUAACCCCCUUGUGGGCCAGCAUGGCUCCAGUGUUUCUGUCUACCCAUGACUGUUUAGAUACUAAUUCUGUUUAAUGUGUGGCCUACUCCCCUGGCUUUUUGUAACCCACUGAUUUCAUCAGAAUGCUGUCAAUACAC